Seriola aureovittata is the source of this 274-nucleotide long non-coding RNA. RefSeq lists it as uncharacterized. NCBI's taxonomy places the organism in Eukaryota, Metazoa, Chordata, Actinopteri, Carangiformes, Carangidae. The record is from RefSeq and is a predicted model, not a curated record. The transcript has 2 exons.
GGCAAAGUGGUACCAGACCUGACAACCUCACUGCAACAAGAAGACACGACAAACACGCAUGUGUUUGUAUUUAAUCUGGCUCCGGGUUGGCUGUUGCCCAGAAGCCCAGCCGGUGAACCGCGGAGAAAGCGCAUUGAUUUCAUCCCAGCAGAAAUCCCUUCUCCCGGUACCCGCCUCUCUACCCCGCCCCGCACCUGAUUAAGCAUUUGCAGGGAGCCAUGCCAACACAAUUUGUCAUUUAUCAAAAGUAAUUAAAAGCAAUUUCUUUUCUCUU